UAAUUAUUUCGUGCCAUGUACUGUAAGUGCAGUAACAUUUUUUAAGAGCUUUUGACGAUUUGAAUUUAUGCUUUACUAGGUAAUAACUACGAAUUGAAGAUGAGAUUCGUAGAUCACAUUUUUGACGACUUUGUUGUGGACCAUUUUACGUUAAGAAUUAUUUUGCCAGAAGGAUCCAAGUACGUUUACUUAUACAAAGUUUUCUCUCUUUAGUAGCAUGUAGUUUUAAGAGAGAUUGUUAUGUAGCUAGGGUGAACACCAAACAUGAUUGGUCGAUUUGUGGUCACGUGGCCUUAGAUAAAUGCAAUGUAUCCCGCCCCAACUGGCUGCGUACAUAAUAAACAAAAUAGCAGCACAACUCGUAAGGUUGUAGACUACGAUUUUCCAAGUUUGUGUUAAAAUAAGGAAUGUAAAAGAGAAGGCAAAGGGCAAUAGGAUAUGCUGCUGGAUCUGUUUAAUUAGGUUCUUUUAAUUUUAAACUCGUUUACACUACAUUGUCAUGUCAUACUGUACAUGUACAAUUGUAUGCAUGUUGUUGAUUUUUCUUUCGUCGCUUUUUAACAAAACACUUAAUAUCUGUUCCCUCGACUUCGUCUGGGAAACAUUGAGGUUCUCGGGAAAACGAAACUAUUUUCCUCGAGAGCAGACAUUACAGUAAGUGUAUAGUGUACAAACAAACUCUAAGUGGUUUCAACUUUCAAGCAUCUAUGUGACCCUCGCUAUCCAAAAGAUAAACUUUAAUGACUGAACAGUUGAUACAGCAUGUCUUUAUGUUGAGUUAGAUGAAGUAGAAGAAUAGCAUUAAUAUGAAGUUCAAGAUAUAUGAAGUUCAUAGGAUUAUAUGGACGUGUUUUCAACAUGUCACGCGAGUUUAAGAAUUCUCAGGAAUAUUUAGCAUUUUUGUCUGCACGUUGUUUAUCAUUACAUUUUUUACUUUACUUUCUACCACAUUGUUUUUAACAUAUCUAAUGGACUCUGGUUUUAAUGUGUAGGGAUUUGAAUAUGGAGCUUCCUUUCGAAGCCACCUCUGGGGAAAGUCGGCUUCAUUUUACCUAUCUUGACACUUUUGGAAGACCUGUGGUCGUGUAUCAUAAGAAUAAUCUGGUUGAGCAACACAUUCAAGAAUUUGAG
This is a non-coding RNA of Paramuricea clavata, 1131 nucleotides long. The record is from the annotation of a GenBank genome assembly. Lineage: Eukaryota; Metazoa; Cnidaria; Anthozoa; Malacalcyonacea; Plexauridae.